UAAGCCACUACCGGCUGUGAAUUUGGGGGUUGUAGCUGGAGUAGAUGAUGCACCACACCCGGCUUCUCUUGCUAAAGCCCAGGCAUCCGCAGCAAAACACUGCUCUGGAUCCGAAGUUGCACCCUAGACCAGCUGCAGAAUGAAAGGCACAACCAAGCGACAUAGGCUGGGGAAAUGAAACUUGCUGUUCUCAGUGAAGCUUUUGAAGCCUAACAAAACAGCAUGUACAGAACAAGGCUGCAAGUGGACAGAUCCCUCAAAGCAAUUAAAGCAAAAUACAUUAUAACAGGCUGUACUUCAUCCCUUGAAAUGCUCGGAAGACACUGUCCUAGAUUCAACCACACCUGGAAGAAAGCAACAAUUUAUUGUAGCCCUAAGUAGGGCCACCGGAAUUUCCAUGGGUGCUAGAUCAGGUACAAGCUCCAAACUGCUGCUCCUCAGGGAAGAUUUGCAGAAUUGCCUGAAGAAGGGCCUGCAUGGGGUCCAAAAUGCAUUGAAACUAUUUUCUUUCAUUGAACAACAUAUCCUUCUUGUCUACCCCUAUGCUUUUGGCUUUUUAUCAUUCUUUGCAGGGUUCCCCAUUUUCAGGCAUUGAAGAUCUGGUUAUCCAAUAAAUCCCAGCAGGUACCUUCUUUGUAACCAAAUGUUAUGUGUGAGGGGGUUGGCACUUCAGGUGCCUGUGUAUGGUAAUCGACUCUACAGACUCGACCCAUCAGUCUUUUCCAACUGGCAAACAUUCAGGAGGAAAAUAGCCUGUCCUUUGGGUUUACUGAAAAAUGUUCCAAAACGUAGUAGGUUAGGUGGAAUUUGUUUGCUGGAGAAGUUGGCAACUUCCAAUCAGAAUGCAUUCUCAGACUUGUAUAAUCCAGUUGAACCAGUCAAAUUUAUUUCUGAGUAGAUAUGGAUAGAAUUGUGCAGUAAAGACACAAAGAGAUAUCAUCAUUCAUCCUUUCAUUGGCUAUAGCAGAGGCAGAACAAAACCUGUUGACUCAUCUGAGAAACCAGCAUCUUCCAUCCUUGAACGAUUUCCAUUCAAACUAGUCAUUAUGAGGGCAGGUGUGUAGCUUUAUUCAUUGGUGCUUGGGCUUGCUUGUUUGCCUCAUCUCAUUCUAUUCCUGUUGUGUGCCAUGUCUGUUAUGUUCCUAAAUUGUAGACCUGUAGGUGGGGCCUGUUUUUAAAAUGCUUGAUAAACUUUACAUUCUCUAUAAUGGAGGAAAAGAUAAAGAUAUUUCACAGAGUGGCUUCAGCAACUCAUUGAAUGACAACUUUUGUGUUGAAAGUCAAAGCUAAAGAAAUUUCAGUGCAGCACUAGUUUUAAUCCCAACCAAAUGGAUAACAUUCACUUACUUAUAGAAGCCAUACUUCAAAUUCUUUAUUUCCUCAGUAACCGAACUUUCCGAACCACUGUAGCAGCAUAGACCAACACUGUCAGAGGAUUCACUGCCAAUAGCAAAACUCAGACUAUUUUAACACAAGCUACUUUUUUACUAAGCACAAGGACAGCUUUGUAUUGGGCUUAAAUAGGUAAACCACCUUCAUUAAGUACCGAGCAUGUUCACACAAUCUGCUAAGCUACCCUGUGAAUAAACUACAUAGUAUCUGUGUUUGGACAUCAUGACAAACAACACUGUGUGGUUUCCACAGUGCACAGUUUUUUAUCUGAAUAUGCCUGACAGUUGUUUACAAGGUGUCUAUGCUAGCAUGGUUUCUAUCCUCCUUGCUCAGACAAACAAUCAGAUUUAUGGUGAUAAUUCUCCUCCCUCCUACCAUUUCCUUCCUUCAGUCCUCCAGGCAGGAGACACCCAGGAGACGAAUGAAGUCCCUCUAUUUGACAGCUGCAAACGUGAGCUGAGUUCAGUUUACCACAGCUGUCAAGCAGUCUCUGCUGUGCUAAUGGGCUGCUUUUGUUAAGCAGCUGUCUGCUGCUAGCCUUGGUACCACAAUGGAGUCAGACCUGAUGUCCUUAUAGGCCCCUUCCAACUCUACUAUUCUACGAUUAUGACAGCAAGAAAUCAUAGAACAGACCAUUGCUUUGGUUCAUGGUUUCUAAGGAUCAAAACAUGCCAUACGGAAAUUUUAUGACACAGUUUGGAAAGCAUGACAGAUCUGUAGUUUUUUCAGGUUUUGUUUUUUCAGGUUAUGCAAACCUGCCUGUUGCCUCAGGAAGAGAUAAGUAAUAUUCCUCCUUAUUUAAAUGUUUAUCCUUGGUGACAAUAGCAAACUAUACUCUGUCCACAAAAAAGAAAAAGAUUAAACCUAUAGUGAUGGGCACCAUGAUUUAUUAUUGGAGGAUUGCUUAAUGACUGCUGACACAGAGUGCUCUAUUUUUCUUUUUCAAAGAGCUUGUUUAAAAAAAUAAAUUUUCUGGACUCUUUUGCUAACAAAGCUGAUUAGAUGAGCCAAAGAUAAUGUCUCAAGAGGCAGAUUUGCAACUCAAGGAUUAGGGUAUUUUAACAGAUACUUUGAUUAUAUUUAUAUCCCAGUGAUUGGGACUCAAAAGUGGCUAUCCAAGAUGGAGCUGAGCUCAAGAAAUCCAAGAUUUACCAUCCUCAUGUCAUGUUUCAGCCCUGAGGACAUUGGGAAUUUUCUAGUGUCACAUUUGGGAUUCUAAAUAUAUGCAAAGGAAAAGAAGAGGAGGUUGACUGGCAGGAAGGGACAGAUGUAUCUUGAUAUUAGUAGCUCAGAAAAUGUGAAGUGAAACAGUGCAAUUGCUACAGAUAUUUCAUUCAAGGAAAUUUAUUUCAAAAACAGAUAAAAUCAACAGUGAAAGGUAGUGUGAAGCAAAAAAAAAAAAAAAAAAGAUUUCUAAACAAAAAAGAUUGCCAUAAUGGUGUCCAGUCAUGCUUUUGACUUCAGAGCCUUGAGAAAUAAUUAAAUCUAAGUGUGUCAAUCUUGGUCCAAAAGAGUUAGUGUCUGUGUGCCCAACCUGUUCAUAAGGGUAAAGAAGCAACAGUAGCCCUGUUCCAGGUGUCCAGAAAAAGGCUUAAAACAAACUUGUGAGGAGAAAAGGCCUUCUAGCCCCACUCUCUCUUGUUCUGUUUGUCAUUUUCAACAGGACCAGGCUGCAUACCCCUCCUCAUGCAUUGAUUUUAACCUAUUUUUGAAAGGCUGAACAGGACUUACUACAAUUGGCAUGCUUAGGGCAAUUGUACAUGAUGAAAAAAUACAUCCAGAAAGCAUUUUGUAGGCCCUCUAAUAUUGUACAGAAUAUAAAAUCCCUUGAGCACUAAUGUCUGUGUUUCUUUUUUCUUUUGAAAUUCUCCAAAUACUGCAGUAUUUUAAAAAAAUACAUUUAUUUUAAUUUCAACACAAUUUCAUAAAAUACCAGUUUUAGCUGGAGAAAUAACAAGAACUGUUCUAUGGUUACUAGUUGAGUACACGUUUGCUGGUGUUAAGAUGCUCUGAAGGGGGUUCCAUACAGAAUGUUCCUGCCUGCAGUACAGAGGUAGUUUUGCCAAUUUCCCCAUCCUCAGUGCCACUUCUCCCACUGUACCUCAACUCUUCAGAAUAGAUUUUUUAGGGAGCACAGGGAACUUCAGGGAAUGCCUCAAAAAUUGAUUCUUUUCUCAUUCCACUAGUAAGAUUCCUCUGCUGGAUCAAAUACCUUUGAUGUUUGCAGAAGACAGACUCUGGAUCCAAUUCAUGGUAUCCAUGCUCUGGAAGUGCUGAAAGAAAGUUUGCAAACAUAUAUAUGAUAUUGGUCAUACCAUUUCUUAAUUCAGCACUAUCUUGUACUUCUUCAAUGCUUCUUCCUUUUCAAGGCAUAUUGCUGUUUUCACUUAGCAUACACGCCUGGCAAGUGGUUUAAGUAGGUGUUUAAAGUUCACUCAGCAUCACCCAAGAAACUAAUUCAAGCUAUGAACCCAAGUACAAUUACGUGAAAGUAGCCACAAGCAAAUAUUUACACGGCUGUAGGCUGAAGCUUGUAUCCCAUUCCAAAAGUGACGCCAUGAAUUCCGAAGGUCUUGCAUCACUCUGGCAUGAGCCUGCUAUUUGUGCUGUUUUAUAUUGCUUAUAAAGGGUUGCUGACCAUGCGUAUCAUUAAGCAAUGCCAACAUGUGAUCCCCUGAUUCCCCAAAACAUCUAAAAGUGAACCACAUACUUACAGGAACAAAAAGCAGCUCGUUAUCCGUUUAUGUAGUGAUAAGAUCUUUGACACACUUGAAACAUUCUGAUGGCCUGAUGGAUUUUUUAAAAUGAGUGUAAUGCUAUCUGAACUCUGUUUUCCUUCCUCUGAUAAGAUACAUUCACGUCUCUUCAGCCCUAAAUAUUGCAGCAUGCCCUGUUUCCUUCACUUCUUCUGGAGUUUGAAAGACAGAGACUCUAGGAGUACCAAGUACACAUUCCUGUUUGGUCACUGCAAAUCAUUUUAGGGCCACAUACUGCCUAAGGGCCCAGGGUCCACCUUUAGCUUGUAGUUUUUAGAAAUAAAGUUUUCUGAGGUCUUAUUUGUGAAUGGAAAACAAUUGGGUUCUGACUAGCCUUUACUCUGCAAAAUGGUGUUUCUAGCAAGUGGAACAAGAAUCACUGCUUCUGAGAACAAAUUCAGCUGCACAGAAGGAGUCCUGUAGGAACAUAUCAAAGGCCAAUCUCAUGCAGCAUCCUACUGGACAAGCAGAUGGCACUGGGAAGCUCACAAGCAAGACACAUGGACACUUUUCACUUCCCUUUAAAAGCUACAACUUAAUAGGGUCAUUGACAAAGCAAGACUACACUACUGACCAGCAAUAAGUGCACACUUGCACAUUUGCAAAACAACAACAACAAAAGUAAUAAUGAAAAGAAUACAUCUGUGCAAUUAUGGGGGGCUGAAAAAUAUUUUUAAAGGGUAGUGAGCCAAUGACAGUCUCUCCAGAGUACUCAGUACCGAUACUCAAUAACUGGUUUUCAGUAGCAAGGUGGAUCUAGUGUUUAGCUUUCAUGACUAGCUACUGAUAGCCUUCUCCUCCAUGAAUUUAUCUAAUCCACUUUAAACUCACCUAAACUGGUGGCCAUUAACAUAUAACAUGGCAGCAAACUCUACACUAUCAUUAUGUGCUGCAUGAAGAAGUACUUUUUCUGCCCUACAUCUCCCACCAUACAUCCCACCCAGGGUUGCAAUAUUAUGAAAGAAGAAAUAUUUAUCACUCUUCUUUUUUGUACUAUGCAUAACUUU
Varanus komodoensis (Komodo dragon) is the source of this 5155-nucleotide long non-coding RNA. RefSeq lists it as uncharacterized. NCBI's taxonomy places the organism in Eukaryota, Metazoa, Chordata, Lepidosauria, Squamata, Varanidae. The record is from RefSeq and is a predicted model, not a curated record. The transcript has 4 exons.